AAACCAACAGGGAUUGCCUUAGUAGCGGCGAGUGAAGCGGCAAAAGCUCAAAUUUGAAAUCUGGCACUUUCAGUGUCCGAGUUGUAAUUUGAAGAAGGUAUCUUUGGGUCUGGCUCUUGUCUAUGUUUCUUGGAACAGAACGUCACAGAGGGUGAGAAUCCCGUGCGAUGAGAUGACCCAGACCUAUGUAAAGUUCCUUCGAAGAGUCGAGUUGUUUGGGAAUGCAGCUCUAAGUGGGUGGUAAAUUCCAUCUAAAGCUAAAUAUUGGCGAGAGACCGAUAGCGAACAAGUACAGUGAUGGAAAGAUGAAAAGAACUUUGAAAAGAGAGUGAAAAAGUACGUGAAAUUGUUGAAAGGGAAGGGCUUGAGAUCAGACUUGGUAUUUUGUAUGUUACUCUUUCGGGGGUGGCCUCUACAGUUUACCGGGCCAGCAUCAGUUUGGGCGGUAGGAGAAUUGCAAAGAAAUGUGGCACUGCUUCGGUAGUGUGUUAUAGUCUUUGUCGAUACUGCCAGCCUAGACUGAGGACUGCGGCUUCGGCCUAGGAUGUGCAUAUUCG
Molecule: ribosomal RNA, 557 nt
Filed under: Lodderomyces metapsilosis
Lineage: Eukaryota; Fungi; Ascomycota; Pichiomycetes; Serinales; Debaryomycetaceae
Description: LSU rRNA
Rfam family: Eukaryotic large subunit ribosomal RNA
Source: RNAcentral